AGUGAACGCUGGCGGUAGGCCUAACACAUGCAAGUCGAACGGCAGCACAGAGGAGCUUGCUCCUUGGGUGGCGAGUGGCGGACGGGUGAGGAAUACAUCGGAAUCUACUCUGUCGUGGGGGAUAACGUAGGGAAACUUACGCUAAUACCGCAUACGACCUACGGGUGAAAGCAGGGGACCUUCGGGCCUUGCGCGAUUGAAUGAGCCGAUGUCGGAUUGGCUAGUUGGCGGGGUAAAGGCCCACCAAGGCGACGAUCCGUAGCUGGUCGGAGAGGAUGAUCAGCCUCACUGGAACUGAGACACGGUCCAGACUCCUACGGGAGGCAGCAGUGGGGAAUAUUGGACAAUGGGCGCAAGCCUGAUCCAGCCAUACCGCGUGGGUGAAGAAGGCCUUCGGGUUGUAAAGCCCUUUUGUUGGGAAAGAAAUCCAGCUGGCUAAUACCCGGUUGGGAUGACGGUGCCCAAAGAAUAAGCACCGGCUAACUUCGUGCCAGCAGCCGCCGUAA
Molecule: ribosomal RNA, 506 nt
Filed under: uncultured bacterium
Lineage: Bacteria
Description: partial 16S ribosomal RNA
Rfam family: Bacterial small subunit ribosomal RNA
Source: RNAcentral